Molecule: small RNA, 28 nt
Filed under: Bombyx mori (domestic silkworm)
Lineage: Eukaryota; Metazoa; Arthropoda; Insecta; Lepidoptera; Bombycidae
Description: ovarian small RNA-3042
Source: RNAcentral
UAGCAACAUCCUUGAUUUCGUUGUCGUG